GAUGAACGCUGGCGGCGUGCUUAACACAUGCAAGUCGAGCGAAUUUUGUUAGUGGAAGUUUUCGGAUGGAAGCUAAUGAAGUUAGCGGCGGACGGGUGAGUAACGCGUGGGAAACCUGCCCUAUACAGGGGGAUAGCCUCGGGAAACCGGGAUUAAUACCCCAUAAAACUCAAAUAUCGCAUGAUAUAAGAGUCAAAACUGAGGUGGUAUAGGAUGGUCCCGCGUCUGAUUAGCUAGUUGGUGAGGUAACGGCUCACCAAGGCGACGAUCAGUAGCCGGCCUGAGAGGGUGAACGGCCACAUUGGAACUGAGACACGGUCCAAACUCCUACGGGAGGCAG
This 340-nucleotide ribosomal RNA is filed under the name uncultured Bacillota bacterium. RNAcentral's name for it is "bacterial SSU rRNA". It matches the Rfam family "Bacterial small subunit ribosomal RNA", at positions 28 to 351 of the family's 1533-position model. Lineage: Bacteria; Bacillati; Bacillota. The record is from RNAcentral.